This 107-nucleotide ribosomal RNA is filed under the name Acanthosepion pharaonis. Lineage: Eukaryota; Metazoa; Mollusca; Cephalopoda; Sepiida; Sepiidae. The record is from RNAcentral.
UAUGGUCACAUCAUGUUAAAACAUCGCUUCCCAUACGAUCAUCGAAAUUAAGCAACGUCGAACCUGGUCAGUACCUAGAUGGGUGACCGCUUGGGAAAACCAGAUGA